Molecule: small RNA, 607 nt
Filed under: Arabidopsis thaliana (thale cress)
Lineage: Eukaryota; Viridiplantae; Streptophyta; Magnoliopsida; Brassicales; Brassicaceae
Description: ATSL150060
Source: RNAcentral
AUAUCCAUUUAUUUGCUGUAAUUGUGAGAUUACUCCCUUUCUCAUGUCGAGAUCUCAACCGGCACGAAAUAGAAAGAACAUGUAUUACACGUGUGUUUUAUUAGAUAACACAGCAAAACCAAUCGAACUGGUUAAGCAAUUUAUGGUUUAAUUUUGAAAGGAUAUAAUUGUCCUUUUAUCUUCUAGAAAUAAGGAAAAGUGUCUGAACCUUAGAAAGUGCCUCAAACGUAAAAAGAUUUUCUAAAAGUGCCUAAUAGUGUAACAUUCCCUUUUACAUAUUAAUUACUUCUUUUAAAUAAAUUAAUGUAUAAAAAUCUAUUUUAAAUCACUCAUUUUUUCUUAAAAUUUGGAUUAGUUAUCUUAUAAUUUAAUUCACAUUAUCACCAAAUUUUAGCAAAAAUCAAAAUACAGUUUUAUGUUAUUAUAAAAUAAAAUAUAUCUAUUAUCUGACAGAAGACUCUCCAUAUAUAUUGGAUUACAUAUACUUAAUUUUUCUUAAUUAUUCUUUUUAUCUUAAUAUCUAGAAUCUAUUUUUUUAUUCCAUUAACACCACUAUCAAGAAGCUAAACUUUCUCAAUAUUUGAAUAUAUAAUUCAAAUUUUUGGGU